RNAcentral lists this ribosomal RNA (1527 nucleotides) under Salmonella enterica. RNAcentral describes it as "bacterial SSU rRNA". It matches the Rfam family "Bacterial small subunit ribosomal RNA". Lineage: Bacteria; Pseudomonadati; Pseudomonadota; Gammaproteobacteria; Enterobacterales; Enterobacteriaceae. The record is from RNAcentral.
UGAAGAGUUUGAUCAUGGCUCAGAUUGAACGCUGGCGGCAGGCCUAACACAUGCAAGUCGAACGGUAACAGGAAGCAGCUUGCUGCUUUGCUGACGAGUGGCGGACGGGUGAGUAAUGUCUGGGAAACUGCCUGAUGGAGGGGGAUAACUACUGGAAACGGUGGCUAAUACCGCAUAACGUCGCAAGACCAAAGAGGGGGACCUUCGGGCCUCUUGCCAUCAGAUGUGCCCAGAUGGGAUUAGCUUGUUGGUGAGGUAACGGCUCACCAAGGCGACGAUCCCUAGCUGGUCUGAGAGGAUGACCAGCCACACUGGAACUGAGACACGGUCCAGACUCCUACGGGAGGCAGCAGUGGGGAAUAUUGCACAAUGGGCGCAAGCCUGAUGCAGCCAUGCCGCGUGUAUGAAGAAGGCCUUCGGGUUGUAAAGUACUUUCAGCGGGGAGGAAGGUGUUGUGGUUAAUAACCACAGCAAUUGACGUUACCCGCAGAAGAAGCACCGGCUAACUCCGUGCCAGCAGCCGCGGUAAUACGGAGGGUGCAAGCGUUAAUCGGAAUUACUGGGCGUAAAGCGCACGCAGGCGGUCUGUCAAGUCGGAUGUGAAAUCCCCGGGCUCAACCUGGGAACUGCAUUCGAAACUGGCAGGCUUGAGUCUUGUAGAGGGGGGUAGAAUUCCAGGUGUAGCGGUGAAAUGCGUAGAGAUCUGGAGGAAUACCGGUGGCGAAGGCGGCCCCCUGGACAAAGACUGACGCUCAGGUGCGAAAGCGUGGGGAGCAAACAGGAUUAGAUACCCUGGUAGUCCACGCCGUAAACGAUGUCUACUUGGAGGUUGUGCCCUUGAGGCGUGGCUUCCGGAGCUAACGCGUUAAGUAGACCGCCUGGGGAGUACGGCCGCAAGGUUAAAACUCAAAUGAAUUGACGGGGGCCCGCACAAGCGGUGGAGCAUGUGGUUUAAUUCGAUGCAACGCGAAGAACCUUACCUGGUCUUGACAUCCACAGAACUUUCCAGAGAUGGAUUGGUGCCUUCGGGAACUGUGAGACAGGUGCUGCAUGGCUGUCGUCAGCUCGUGUUGUGAAAUGUUGGGUUAAGUCCCGCAACGAGCGCAACCCUUAUCCUUUGUUGCCAGCGGUCCGGCCGGGAACUCAAAGGAGACUGCCAGUGAUAAACUGGAGGAAGGUGGGGAUGACGUCAAGUCAUCAUGGCCCUUACGACCAGGGCUACACACGUGCUACAAUGGCGCAUACAAAGAGAAGCGACCUCGCGAGAGCAAGCGGACCUCAUAAAGUGCGUCGUAGUCCGGAUUGGAGUCUGCAACUCGACUCCAUGAAGUCGGAAUCGCUAGUAAUCGUGGAUCAGAAUGCCACGGUGAAUACGUUCCCGGGCCUUGUACACACCGCCCGUCACACCAUGGGAGUGGGUUGCAAAAGAAGUAGGUAGCUUAACCUUCGGGAGGGCGCUUACCACUUUGUGAUUCAUGACUGGGGUGAAGUCGUAACAAGGUAACCGUAGGGGAACCUGCGGUUGGA